RNAcentral lists this unclassified non-coding RNA (233 nucleotides) under uncultured fungus. RNAcentral describes it as "sequence contains ITS1". The record is from RNAcentral. Lineage: Eukaryota; Fungi.
AUUUUAUAGUUGCGUUAUCCGCAAGAAGACAUUCAUAUACAACAAGAGUUGGUAUAAAAAUUACACAGAGCAGACAUUGAACUGAGAAAUAUUCCCAGCCUUUGCCUGUCCUAUGAAAAGUGCACAGGGGUUGAAGAGUGGAUGAGCCAAGCGUGCACAUACCUCGGUUAAGAGGCCAGCUACAACCUGUUCAAAACUCGAUAAUGAUCCUUCCGCAGGUUCACCUACGGAAA